RNAcentral lists this ribosomal RNA (254 nucleotides) under uncultured bacterium. RNAcentral describes it as "partial 16S ribosomal RNA". It matches the Rfam family "Bacterial small subunit ribosomal RNA", at positions 524 to 776 of the family's 1533-position model. The record is from RNAcentral.
CACGUAGGGGGCGAGCGUUGUCCGGAUUUAUUGGGCGUAAAGAGCUCGUAGGCGGCUCAGAAAGUCGGGUGUGAAACCUCCAGGCUCAACCUGGAGACGCCACCUGAUACUGCUGUGGCUAGAGUCCGGUAGGGGAACACGGAAUUCCCGGUGUAGCGGUGAAAUGCUUAGAUAUCGGGAGGAACACCAGUGGCGAAGGCGGUGUUCUGGGCCGGAACUGACGCUGAGGAGCGAAAGCGUGGGUAGCAAACAGG